Molecule: ribosomal RNA, 490 nt
Filed under: uncultured bacterium
Lineage: Bacteria
Description: partial 16S ribosomal RNA
Rfam family: Bacterial small subunit ribosomal RNA
Source: RNAcentral
AUUGAACGCUGGCGGCAGGCCUAACGCAUGCAAGUCGAACGGUAACAGGAAGCAGCUUGCUGCUUCGCUGACGAGUGGCGGACGGGUGAGUAAUGUCUGGGAAGCUGCCUGAUGGAGGGGGAUAACUACUGGAAACGGUAGCUAAUACCGCAUAAUGUCGCAAGACCAAAGAGGGGGACCUUCGGGCCUCUUGCCAUCGGAUGUGCCCAGAUGGGAUUAGCUUGUUGGUGGGGUAACGGCUCACCAAGGCGACGAUCCCUAGCUGGUCUGAGAGGAUGACCAGCCACACUGGAACUGAGACACGGUCCAGACUCCUACGGGAGGCAGCAGUGGGGAAUAUUGCACAAUGGGCGCAAGCCUGAUGCAGCCAUGCCGCGUGUAUGAAGAAGGCCUUCGGGUUGUAAAGUACUUUCAGCGGGGAGGAAGGGAGUAAAGUUAAUACCUUUGCUCAUUGACGUUACCCGCAGAAGAAGCACCGGCUAACUCCGUG